Molecule: ribosomal RNA, 502 nt
Filed under: Eobiana japonica
Lineage: Eukaryota; Metazoa; Arthropoda; Insecta; Orthoptera; Tettigoniidae
Description: eukaryotic LSU rRNA
Rfam family: Eukaryotic large subunit ribosomal RNA
Source: RNAcentral
CAAGGAGUCUAACAUGUGCGCGAGUCAUUGGGUUGACACUAAACCUAAAGGCGCAAUGAAAGUGAAGGUCCCGCCUCGUGCGGACCGAGGGAAGAUGGGCCGCGCUGCUGUGCGGCUCCGCAUUCCCGGGGCGUCUCGUUCUCAUUGCGAGUUGAGGCGCACCCAGAGCGUACACGUUGGGACCCGAAAGAUGGUGAACUAUGCCUGGCCAGGACGAAGUCAGGGGAAACCCUGAUGGAGGUCCGUAGCGAUUCUGACGUGCAAAUCGAUCGUCGGAGCUGGGUAUAGGGGCGAAAGACUAAUCGAACCAUCUAGUAGCUGGUUCCCUCCGAAGUUUCCCUCAGGAUAGCUGGUGCUCGAACGAGUCUCAUCCGGUCAAGCGAAUGAUUAGAGGCCUUGGGGCCGAAACGACCUCAACCUAUUCUCAAACUUUAAAUGGGUGAGAUCUCCGGCUUGCUUAAAACAUUUUUGAAGCCGCGAGAUUAAUUUUCUUGGAUCGGAG